GGGUUGUGAGGUUAAGCGACUAAGCGUACACGGUGGAUGCCCUGGCAGUCAGAGGCGAUGAAGGACGUGCUAAUCUGCGAUAAGCGUCGGUAAGGUGAUAUGAACCGUUAUAACCGGCGAUUUCCGAAUGGGGAAACCCAGUGUGUUUCGACACACUAUCAUUAACUGAAUCCAUAGGUUAAUGAGGCGAACCGGGGGAACUGAAACAUCUAAGUACCCCGAGGAAAAGAAAUCAACCGAGAUUCCCCCAGUAGCGGCGAGCGAACGGGGAGCAGCCCAGAGCCUGAAUCAGUGUGUGUGUUAGUGGAAGCGUCUGGAAAGGCGCGCGAUACAGGGUGACAGCCCCGUACACAAAAAUGCACAUGCUGUGAGCUCGAUGAGUAGGGCGGGACACGUGGUAUCCUGUCUGAAUAUGGGGGGACCAUCCUCCAAGGCUAAAUACUCCUGACUGACCGAUAGUGAACCAGUACCGUGAGGGAAAGGCGAAAAGAACCCCGGCGAGGGGAGUGAAAAAGAACCUGAAACCGUGUACGUACAAGCAGUGGGAGCACGCUUAGGCGUGUGACUGCGUACCUUUUGUAUAAUGGGUCAGCGACUUAUAUUCUGUAGCAAGGUUAACCGAAUAGGGGAGCCGAAGGGAAACCGAGUCUUAACUGGGCGUUAAGUUGCAGGGUAUAGACCCGAAACCCGGUGAUCUAGCCAUGGGCAGGUUGAAGGUUGGGUAACACUAACUGGAGGACCGAACCGACUAAUGUUGAAAAAUUAGCGGAUGACUUGUGGCUGGGGGUGAAAGGCCAAUCAAACCGGGAGAUAGCUGGUUCUCCCCGAAAGCUAUUUAGGUAGCGCCUCGUGAAUUCAUCUCCGGGGGUAGAGCACUGUUUCGGCAAGGGGGUCAUCCCGACUUACCAACCCGAUGCAAACUGCGAAUACCGGAGAAUGUUAUCACGGGAGACACACGGCGGGUGCUAACGUCCGUCGUGAAGAGGGAAACAACCCAGACCGCCAGCUAAGGUCCCAAAGUCAUGGUUAAGUGGGAAACGAUGUGGGAAGGCCCAGACAGCCAGGAUGUUGGCUUAGAAGCAGCCAUCAUUUAAAGAAAGCGUAAUAGCUCACUGGUCGAGUCGGCCUGCGCGGAAGAUGUAACGGGGCUAAACCAUGCACCGAAGCUGCGGCAGCGACGCUGAUGCGUUGUUGGGUAGGGGAGCGUUCUGUAAGCCUGCGAAGGUGUGCUGUGAGGCAUGCUGGAGGUAUCAGAAGUGCGAAUGCUGACAUAAGUAACGAUAAAGCGGGUGAAAAGCCCGCUCGCCGGAAGACCAAGGGUUCCUGUCCAACGUUAAUCGGGGCAGGGUGAGUCGACCCCUAAGGCGAGGCCGAAAGGCGUAGUCGAUGGGAAACAGGUUAAUAUUCCUGUACUUGGUGUUACUGCGAAGGGGGGACGGAGAAGGCUAUGUUGGCCGGGCGACGGUUGUCCCGGUUUAAGCGUGUAGGCUGGUUUUCCAGGCAAAUCCGGAAAAUCAAGGCUGAGGCGUGAUGACGAGGCACUACGGUGCUGAAGCAACAAAUGCCCUGCUUCCAGGAAAAGCCUCUAAGCAUCAGGUAACAUCAAAUCGUACCCCAAACCGACACAGGUGGUCAGGUAGAGAAUACCAAGGCGCUUGAGAGAACUCGGGUGAAGGAACUAGGCAAAAUGGUGCCGUAACUUCGGGAGAAGGCACGCUGAUAUGUAGGUGAAGUCCCUCGCGGAUGGAGCUGAAAUCAGUCGAAGAUACCAGCUGGCUGCAACUGUUUAUUAAAAACACAGCACUGUGCAAACACGAAAGUGGACGUAUACGGUGUGACGCCUGCCCGGUGCCGGAAGGUUAAUUGAUGGGGUCAGCGCAAGCGAAGCUCUUGAUCGAAGCCCCGGUAAACGGCGGCCGUAACUAUAACGGUCCUAAGGUAGCGAAAUUCCUUGUCGGGUAAGUUCCGACCUGCACGAAUGGCGUAAUGAUGGCCAGGCUGUCUCCACCCGAGACUCAGUGAAAUUGAACUCGCUGUGAAGAUGCAGUGUACCCGCGGCAAGACGGAAAGACCCCGUGAACCUUUACUAUAGCUUGACACUGAACAUUGAGCCUUGAUG
RNAcentral lists this ribosomal RNA (2119 nucleotides) under Escherichia coli. RNAcentral describes it as "partial 23S ribosomal RNA". It matches the Rfam family "Bacterial large subunit ribosomal RNA", at positions 1 to 2136 of the family's 2925-position model. The record is from RNAcentral. Lineage: Bacteria; Pseudomonadati; Pseudomonadota; Gammaproteobacteria; Enterobacterales; Enterobacteriaceae.